GCAGGAUUACUCAAGUGGUUGAAGAGGCGUGACUCGAAAUCUCGUAGGACGUGAAAGCGUUGCCAGAGUUCAAAUCUCUGAUCCUGCGCCA
Molecule: transfer RNA, 91 nt
Filed under: Clostridia bacterium
Lineage: Bacteria; Bacillati; Bacillota; Clostridia
Description: tRNA-Ser
Rfam family: tRNA
About the family: Transfer RNA (tRNA) molecules are approximately 80 nucleotides in length. Their secondary structure includes four short double-helical elements and three loops (D, anti-codon, and T loops).
Source: RNAcentral